CUUGUUCAUGCCCCCAAGGCCAAUCCUGACAUGUCUGCCAUGCAAACUAUGGAGAGAAGCUACAGUCGCCAUUAUUUCAUUUUUUAAGGUGACACUGGAGAAAUGAAAGCGUACACAACUUGAAACACCAAGUCAAAAUCUAUAUGUGUGUAAAAUACUGAAGAUUACCAUCUCCUUAAUUCACCCGUUGCUGCUGUUGAAGAUUGAGUCACAUAAGCCUGUGAGGAUUUGGUGACCCUGUGUCUCAGGUCACGACUGAGUGAGGCUGCUUCAGCUCCAAGCCCCAGACUAGACCAUUCACUCAAGGUGAAGUUGCGGUCAGACUUUAGGUAC
This 333-nucleotide long non-coding RNA is filed under the name Salmo salar (Atlantic salmon). RNAcentral's name for it is "lncRNA (ENSSSAG00000088687.1)". The record is from RNAcentral. Lineage: Eukaryota; Metazoa; Chordata; Actinopteri; Salmoniformes; Salmonidae.